This 497-nucleotide ribosomal RNA is filed under the name uncultured bacterium. RNAcentral describes it as "partial 16S ribosomal RNA". It matches the Rfam family "Bacterial small subunit ribosomal RNA", at positions 28 to 507 of the family's 1533-position model. The record is from RNAcentral.
GACGAACGCUGGCGGCGUGCCUAAUACAUGCAAGUUGAGCGCUGAAGGUUGGUACUUGUACCAACUGGAUGAGCAGCGAACGGGUGAGUAACGCGUGGGGAAUCUGCCUUUGAGCGGGGGACAACAUUUGGAAACGAAUGCUAAUACCGCAUAAAAACUUUAAACACAAGUUUUAAGUUUGAAAGAUGCAAUUGCACCACUCAAAGAUGAUCCCGCGUUGUAUUAGCUAGUUGGUGAGGUAAAGGCUCACCAAGGCGAUGAUACAUAGCCGACCUGAGAGGGUGAUCGGCCACAUUGGGACUGAGACACGGCCCAAACUCCUACGGGAGGCAGCAGUAGGGAAUCUUCGGCAAUGGACGAAAGUCUGACCGAGCAACGCCGCGUGAGUGAAGAAGGUUUUCGGAUCGUAAAACUCUGUUGGUAGAGAAGAACGUUGGUGAGAGUGGAAAGCUCAUCAAGUGACGGUAACUACCCAGAAAGGGACGGCUAACUACGUG